GGGUCAGUGGGAAUCUUCCGCAAUGGACGAAAGUCUGACGGAGCAACGCCGCGUGAGUGAAGAAGGCCUUCGGGUCGUAAAACUCUGUUGCCGGGGAAGAACAAGUGCCGUUCGAACAGGGCGGCGCCUUGACGGUACCCGGCCAGAAAGCCACGGCUAACUACGUGCCAGCAGCCGCGGUAAUACGUAGGUGGCAAGCGUUGUCCGGAAUUAUUGGGCGUAAAGCGCGCGCAGGCGGCUUCUUAAGUCUGAUGUGAAAUCUUGCGGCUCAACCGCAAGCGGUCAUUGGAAACUGGGAGGCUUGAGUGCAGAAGAGGAGAGUGGAAUUCCACGUGUAGCGGUGAAAUGCGUAGAGAUGUGGAGGAACACCAGUGGCGAAGGCGGCUCUCUGGUCUGUAACUGACGCUGAGGCGCGAAAGCGUGGGGAGCAAACAGGAUUAGAUACCCUGGUAGUCCACGCCGUAAACGAUGAGUGCUAAGUGUUAGAGGGUUUCCGCCCUUUAGUGCUGCAGCUAACGCAUUAAGCACUCCGCCUGGAGACCCA
This 544-nucleotide ribosomal RNA is filed under the name uncultured bacterium. RNAcentral's name for it is "bacterial SSU rRNA". It matches the Rfam family "Bacterial small subunit ribosomal RNA", at positions 345 to 883 of the family's 1533-position model. The record is from RNAcentral.